This 519-nucleotide ribosomal RNA is filed under the name Triticum aestivum (bread wheat). RNAcentral's name for it is "partial small subunit ribosomal RNA". Lineage: Eukaryota; Viridiplantae; Streptophyta; Magnoliopsida; Poales; Poaceae. The record is from RNAcentral.
GUUGUGGAUGAACGGACGAAGCUUCUAGUUCAGGUAGCAGCGCUAAUAGCUGUGGUUCAGGCCUGGAUCAUGUUGGUCCAUAAGAGAGUUGUUCGUUAGAAUGAAAAACCUCUCAUCUUGUAUGGUCUUAUGUUAAUCCGGGAUCAGGAGAGGAUAGCCAAUCUGAACUACAUCUACAAGUGCAAUGACACAGAGGCUCUGUGGAUGCUUCGAAUGAAAAGAGCACCUUUCUCCAGGCUUGUGCAGAUGUUCAGAAAUAGGGGGCUGCUAGAAGAUAGCAUCCACACCACUGUGGAAGAGCAAGUAGUCAUAUUCCUCCAUGUUGUUGGUCAUACCCAAAGGUUCAGGGUUGUACACAACACCUUCAAGAGAUCAAUGGAGACCAUCUCCAGAUACUUCUAGCAAGUGUUGUAUGCUGUUAGGGAACUUAGAGGAGAGAUGAUCAUGUUGCCAACUGGGCAGACUCCUACCAAGAUUCGCACUACCCCAAAGGUAUCCAUACUUCAAAGUGAGCUGUGA